UUCACCACACUCGCAAAAUAGAGAGCCUUUCGAUGGUCCGACUUUUACUCACUAAACUAACUUGCUAAACUUGCUGGAAUUAUUUUGUCUUACUUCACUUAUAAACAGAGGCAACAAUAAUGUGUUCGGAAGCUCCAGGCUUACUCAAAAGGAAAUUCAACACACGCUUCCCGCCUUCCCUUUUAUUUACUCUUUCUUCAAGUUGAACUUUCCUACACGAUUGCUUACGCACUGGAAGAGGGCUCGUUGUUUAUCAUCCAAAAAGUUGACUUUGCCUAGAUAAUCAUCUACAGAAAUAACAAAGAUUGGAUGCUAGAGGAAUCGUGUGGAAUUAACAGUGAGUUUUUUUCUCAGAGAGCAGCUCUACCAAACAGCAUAUAUUUUUUUUGUUUUUCGGUCCAAUUCGUGGGGCAAUUUGUUUAGAGCAUAUGAAAUAAUAUUUAUUAAGAUGAAAAAAGUAAAAAAAAGAAUGCUACGAAUGCAGACUUGUUAAAGCUGAAAGUAAUCUCUGAUUUUAAUCUUGGCUAUACUAGGCAAAGGGCGUGGCAGUAUUCUUACCUGCUUACUCAAAGGGAAUGAACUGUCAUAUGGUUGAAGCUGUAUUAACCAUAUAACAGUUUACUUCUUUUUAUCACAGGAAUCUUGUAUUCCAGACUCUACAAAGCUAUAGAUUUUUAUCUUAAAUAAAAAGAUGAAAAUAGAUACAAAAUUAGAUCCAGACCGUAAAAAGCAUUGCUUUCUUAAAAAGCAAUCACAAACUAAAAUAAAUAUGUAAAAAUAUUAGCUAGCAAAAGGGCCGGAGUAUUGUUGGCGCCGGUGCCCUUGGGAGGGGGGUGGAUUUUUUUUUAUUAGGCGAAGCCUGUCAUAUAAGUUUUGGUUAAGACCUUUUUUUAUCACGAACAAAUGGUUCGUUAGUUUGAUAUUUUGGUAGUCUAGGCAUUACUGGUCUGCGUGGGAGGAUUCAGUCACCUGGAGGUAUGCUUCCCCCUCUCCCCCUUUUGCUGAUAACUUUAUCAUUUGAUGCAUUGGCCAUAUAAUGAUUACAUUCAAUAAGGUAAAACUUUCAAAACAUUACUAACUUGCAGUUUUCCACAUUGAUCAUUGUUGGUGACUGCAUCAUAUAAUACCAGAGAUUUAUUGAUUAAUAAGGAAAACAGUCAAAACCAUUGUUGAUGAAAUGUGAAAGAGUUUAAUGAAAAGAAAUACUAUCACACUAAAAA
Nematostella vectensis (starlet sea anemone) is the source of this 1220-nucleotide long non-coding RNA. RefSeq lists it as uncharacterized. Lineage: Eukaryota; Metazoa; Cnidaria; Anthozoa; Actiniaria; Edwardsiidae. The record is from RefSeq and is a predicted model, not a curated record. The transcript is spliced from 4 exons.